This is an RNA transcript of Setaria italica (foxtail millet), 4283 nucleotides long. It is a transcript of the gene named serine/arginine repetitive matrix protein 1, with no coding region annotated. The record is from RefSeq and is a predicted model, not a curated record. The transcript is spliced from 13 exons. NCBI's taxonomy places the organism in Eukaryota, Viridiplantae, Streptophyta, Magnoliopsida, Poales, Poaceae.
CCUCCGCUGCAUAUCUCUCGUCGGUCCGUACUCUCGUCGCCUACCCUUCCCCAGCGGCACACGCGGACGCCUUCGAACCCUAGUCACCCGCGACCCCCCUGCAGUCCCCCGACGCCUCCUGCCCCCGGCGGCGGCUGCGGCAUCUGCGUCAGCGAAGAUGUCGGGCGGCUUCUUCCGGGGGACGUCCGCUGACCAGGACACGCGCUUCUCCAACAAGCAGGCCAAGCUGCUCAAGACGCAGAAGUUCGCGCCUGAGCUUGACCACUUGGUGGACAUGUCAAAGGUCAAGAUGGAUGUGAUGAAGCCCUGGAUCGCCAAGCGAGUCACUGAGCUUCUCGGGUUCGAGGACGAAGUGCUUAUCAACUUCAUCUAUGGCCUCCUCGAAGAGAAGGAGGCGGAUGGGAAGAAGAUCCAGAUCCAGCUGACAGGGUUCAUGGAGAAGAACACAGUGAAGUUCAUGAAGGAGCUCUGGGGCCUCCUCUUAAGUGCGCAACAGAAUGCCAGUGGGGUACCUCAACAGUUUCUAGAUGAAAAGGAGGCUGAAAUACAGCAGAGAAAGGCGGAGGAUGAUAGAAUUGCACAGGAGAUCCAAAAGAAGCGGGAGAAAGAGGGAAUAGACUUAGAACUGGAGAAGCAGAAAAUGAUGGAUGGGGAUACUAGCAACUCAAGAUCCUAUGGUGAUCCAAAUGGCUCUGCUUUAAAUAAAACAAAUAUCGAUGCCACGGAAGAAAUGGAAUUGGACUUCAAGCGCAGCUCAAGAACAAAGAACCGGGGAAGUCGCAGAUCCAGGAGCAUAUCUUUGUCACCCCAUGGUAGGCAAAGAUCUAUUUCUCCCAGAAAGCGUUCUCGAUCUCCUUCCAGGCGUUCCCGCUCCAUUGAUAGACAUCGUAGAUCAUCACGGCGUUCAACUUCACCUAGACGCUCUGCUUCUCCCCGAAGGCAUUCUCCAAGAAGUACCCCUUCAAUUUCUAGAAGGAGAUCACCUUAUUCAAGGAGAGGGUCACCUUCACUGUCAAGGUAUCCGUCCCCACCUUCACGCAGGAGAUCUCCUCUUCGCAGAAAAUCACCAUCAUCUGGAUCACGAAGGUCACCUUCUCCUCGCCAUCGUCGUUCACCAGCUCGUGCGCCAAGGAGGUCACCAUCUCCUGCACGUCGAAGGUCUCCUGUUCGACACAGAUUUUCACCAGGCAGACAUCGAUCUCCAUCUCCAGCAAGGCGUAGGCCAAGGUCCCCAUCUCCAGGAAGGCGAAGGCCAAGGUCCCCAUCUCCUGGAAGGCGCAGGCCACGGUCCCCAUCUCCAGGAAGGCGCAGACCACGGUCCCCAUCUCCUGGAAGCCGCAGGCCACGCUCCCCAUCUCCUGGAAGACGUAGGCCAUGGUCUCGAUCGCCAGUAAAACGUCGGUCCCCAUCUCCAAAACGCCGAAGGAGAUCCCCAAGUUCACCGAAAACUCGUUAUGCAAAUCGACGUCCAUCUCCACAGCGGAGAAGGAGUAUCAGUCCGUACAGUAGCAAAAGUCCUAAUCGUUCUCGCCGGAGUUUGAGUGUGGAGAUUGAGAAAGGAACAAAUGGCACCCCCUCCACUAAAGACAGAGUUGUGCCUGAAAGGGACCGAGAACGAAGAUCAGGUGAUGAUAGUGACAGGGAUGGUGCAAGGACUGGUGAUCAUCGUUCCCCAGAUUCUGAACGUAGGUUGUCAAAUUCCUUGAGGCCGCCAAAUAAUGAAGAAAGAAACUCCACACGUGAUAGGAGCUCAGGGAAACAAUUACCUAGUCAGGACAGCACAGAUACAAGUGGAGAUGAGGACGAAGGCAGUCGUGCUAGAGAGAGUGCACGAAAAGCAAAUUCAGCACGUAGGAAAACCAAGGAUUUCUCAGCAGAUCGGCAGCUGAAUAAAGUUGGAGCUGGUGUCUUAAGCCCUGGAGAAAAAUCUCCAUUCAUGUUACAAAGUGGCAAGGGCGUCCAGAAGAAACACCCUGAUCAACUGUCUGAAUCAUCAGAAGAUGAGCUUGUUGGUAGAAGAAUGAAGCGUAGAACUGAUUCUCCUGAUGAGCGUUCCCCACCUAGAAUUGAAAAAGAUGACUCGCAUUCAAAGGAUGAGAGGAACAGUGAGCGUGCCGUGAGGGGUUCACGUGAUGAUUCUGAUAAUGCUACUGGGGCAAAGAAAUAUUUUUCUAAAGUCAAUGAGGGCUCCCAAUCGGAAGAUGGAAGUCCUGUCAAAAAGCUCAAGAAAAGAACAGAUGUUAAAAGCCACAUUGAUUCUGGCAGUUCAGGGUCCGAAGAACCUGACAAACAUAGAUCCCAUUCUGAGAAGCAAAGGAACAAGAAGGCCCAUAAGCAUAAGAAACAGUAUGAUGAUAGUUCUGAGUCUGAUUCCGAGCCAGAUGGCAAAGAGGCAAAGAGGAGGAGGAAGGAAGAAAAGAAGCUAAGAAAAGAAGAAAGACGUCGUAGACGUGAAGAGCGGCAUCGCAGAAGGGCAGAACGCCAUGCCAGCAAACAAAAGUCGAAGCAUUCUGAUACUGUUGCACCUUCAGAUUCUGAGAAGGAUCGGGAUUCUGAUUCAGAUGUUGAUGUUAGGAAAAGAGGUUCACCCGUGGGCAGAGAAGAGUCUGAUCAGAAGAAACUUGAAAUCGAGCUUCGUGAGAAGGCCCUUGAAUCUCUUAGAGCCAAGAAAGCCAUCAACAACUAGCCUGAGAAUUUUAUUCCGACGCAUUUGAGUUUCUAUUUUCAAGUGCUUAUCUCAAUGUUAUGGAAGUGUGGUUAUAUGAUGCCUAUUUAAUGUUCUGUAUGUUUAUGUGGCAGUUGAUCUGAGGAUUCCUGAUCUGUUUCCUUGAUGCAGCUGCGUGCAGGCUUAGCUGCCAGUUAUCUGAUUAGCACCAUGUGCACAAGCUUUUUAUGUUCCUCAGGAUGAUUUGAUCCACGCCUCAACAAAAACAAGUUGGUAACAUUGUUGAUUGGAAAGUCUGCUAAAGCAUUCCUUCUUACCAGUUGUUUGGUCGGUGCUGCUUAGUUUCAGGUUUGUGCAGUAGCCAAUAUAUUUGAUUGCUAUAUCACGCAGGUAAAUAUUUGAUGCUAUAGCCAUCAUUCUUUUCAGAAACGUAGUUUUAAUGCUGACUUAAGAGAAAGUGAAAAAAAAUAUACCAUGAUAAACUUUUAUGCUUGGAAUAUGAAACCACCAAACCAGCUGAUGAUUUGAGCUACAAACAGUAUUUGCAGAAAUCAUCUUCCACCUGGGAUGACCUCCAUCUUUAGUUUGCCAACUUAGGCUAUUACUUGCUGUCCAAUGAUGCAUGGGCAUGUGUGCUUUAGAAAGAAAAAACCGGGGGACAAGGGGAGCUUCCUGUUCUCCUUGUUGAUUAGUGCCCUGAGUUUAUAGAAUCUUUAUUGACUGGUAAUACUAUGGUUCCUUUUCUUGGCUUUGACCGUUAUCUUGGUUUUCCAUGUUCAUCCUCAUGACAAAUCUAGCAUAGUUUUUAACUGACGGCUUAAAUAGCGUGCUAGUGCUGUUUCUUUUCGAAGAGGUAGAAUAGCUUUGGAGUCAUCCAAUUCAGUACUAGUUGUACAAAAUGCGUUCAUGCAUUUGGGAGACCACGUGUAACCAAAUCAUGCUUUCAUCUGUUCACCUUUGAUCUGUGGGUCACUGAUGUUGAGACUUAAGGCUACUCAGUUCAUUUAUGUUGGGUUGCAAGCACUUUGUGCCCUUCUCUAUGUUGGUUUGGAUGUAGCAUCCUACCGACACCAGCACAUUUAGAAUUCAGUGUCUUGUGUAGACGUGCACGUCAAUCGAUUAUUAUAUUAGCAUUUAUGGAGAUGUGAUGCUGAGUAUUUUUGUUGCUGCGACCUAGGGUUGUGUUCGGGGAGAUCAGCAUGCUUUGGUUAGUCGUGGAUUCAGAUUGCAGCAUUUUGUAAUCUGAAAUUUUAUGGAGCCAAAAAAGUGCAACAAAUUUGAACAGUCAUUAGAAAUUUCUUGUGUGCUGUCAUGUUAAUUCCCAGGAGGGGACACGUGAGGAACUCAGUUCCAGCUAGUCGCCAAGGGGCAGUGAGUUGUUGCCAACAGUAGCGACCACUGGAAUCUGAGUUCUUACGAAGGUGUAUCCCUAAACGUGGCGUCAGCGUCACAUGGGAAUGCUUCUUUAGAAAUUGCAAAUUUACAUUUAGUUUAAUUAACAAUGCAAUCUUAUGUGUACUCCAUUAUUUUCUUAGCUUGUUCCAGUGUAUCCUUAUGAUCUGUUUCACUGUUUGGAUGCCCUUCAACCUACUUUCCCCCAUUCAUUGAAAAUGCUAUA